RNAcentral lists this ribosomal RNA (501 nucleotides) under uncultured bacterium. Its description in RNAcentral is "partial 16S ribosomal RNA". It matches the Rfam family "Bacterial small subunit ribosomal RNA", at positions 30 to 523 of the family's 1533-position model. The record is from RNAcentral.
AUUGAACGCUGGCGGCAGGCUUAACACAUGCAAGUCGAGCGGGGGAAGGUAGCUUGCUACCGGACCUAGCGGCGGACGGGUGAGUAAUGCUUAGGAAUCUGCCUAUUAGUGGGGGACAACAUCUCGAAAGGGAUGCUAAUACCGCAUACGUCCUACGGGAGAAAGCAGGGGAUCUUCGGACCUUGCGCUAAUAGAUGAGCCUAGGUCGGAUUAGCUAGUUGGUGGGGUAAAGGCCUACCAAGGCGACGAUCUGUAGCGGGUCUGAGAGGAUGAUCCGCCACACUGGGACUGAGACACGGCCCAGACUCCUACGGGAGGCAGCAGUGGGGAAUAUUGGACAAUGGGGGGAACCCUGAUCCAGCCAUGCCGCGUGUGUGAAGAAGGCCUUAUGGUUGUAAGGCACUUUAAGCGAGGAGGAGGCUACUCUAGUUAAUACCUAGGGAUAGUGGACGUUACUCGCAGAAUAAGCACCGGCUAACUCUGUGCCAGCCGCCGCGGUAA